Molecule: transfer RNA, 83 nt
Filed under: Parengyodontium album
Lineage: Eukaryota; Fungi; Ascomycota; Sordariomycetes; Hypocreales; Cordycipitaceae
Description: tRNA-Leu
Source: RNAcentral
ACGGAUGUGUUGAAAAUUGGUAAACAAGCUUUAUUUAGGCUAAAGUGACUUCGGUCUUACACGUUCAAGUCGUGUCAUCUGUA